RNAcentral lists this ribosomal RNA (636 nucleotides) under Clostridioides difficile. RNAcentral's name for it is "bacterial SSU rRNA". It matches the Rfam family "Bacterial small subunit ribosomal RNA", at positions 161 to 816 of the family's 1533-position model. The record is from RNAcentral. Lineage: Bacteria; Bacillati; Bacillota; Clostridia; Peptostreptococcales; Peptostreptococcaceae.
UGCUAAUACGGGAUAAUAUAUUUGAGAGGCAUCUCUUGAAUAUCAAAGGUGAGCCAGUACAGGAUGGACCCGCGUCUGAUUAGCUAGUUGGUAAGGUAACGGCUUACCAAGGCGACGAUCAGUAGCCGACCUGAGAGGGUGAUCGGCCACAUUGGAACUGAGACACGGUCCAAACUCCUACGGGAGGCAGCAGUGGGGAAUAUUGCACAAUGGGCGAAAGCCUGAUGCAGCAACGCCGCGUGAGUGAUGAAGGCCUUCGGGUCGUAAAACUCUGUCCUCAAGGAAGAUAAUGACGGUACUUGAGGAGGAAGCCCCGGCUAACUACGUGCCAGCAGCCGCGGUAAUACGUAGGGGGCUAGCGUUAUCCGGAUUUACUGGGCGUAAAGGGUGCGUAGGCGGUCUUUCAAGUCAGGAGUGAAAGGCUACGGCUCAACCGUAGUAAGCUCUUGAAACUGGGAGACUUGAGUGCAGGAGAGGAGAGUGGAAUUCCUAGUGUAGCGGUGAAAUGCGUAGAUAUUAGGAGGAACACCAGUUGCGAAGGCGGCUCUCUGGACUGUAACUGACGCUGAGGCACGAAAGCGUGGGGAGCAAACAGGAUUAGAUACCCUGGUAGUCCACGCUGUAAACGAUGAGUAC